Periophthalmus magnuspinnatus is the source of this 322-nucleotide long non-coding RNA. RefSeq lists it as uncharacterized. Lineage: Eukaryota; Metazoa; Chordata; Actinopteri; Gobiiformes; Gobiidae. The record is from RefSeq and is a predicted model, not a curated record. The transcript is spliced from 3 exons.
CCUUUGACCCGGAUGGAGAUGAGGUCGUGUGCAGGAAUGGCAGACCUCCUUACGAGUGUGACGACUGUAGUCUCCCUCCUUACUUUGAAUUCAGUUCGAACUGCAGUAUGUCAUACAAACCAAUAGACUAUGGAGGAGGAGAAAAGCUGUACGUGGUGCAGCUGAUGAUGGAGGAUCAUCCCAGAAGUGACAUCGUUCUGACCCAGAGCAACGGCACAGUGGAGCAGAGGAACACCACCGACCACAUCAGCUCUCUGCCCUUCCAGUUCGCUAUUGUGGCAUCUCCUGGUUUACCGUCCUGCAGUGAAGGGGUUUUUUUGCC